Molecule: ribosomal RNA, 492 nt
Filed under: uncultured bacterium
Lineage: Bacteria
Description: partial 16S ribosomal RNA
Rfam family: Bacterial small subunit ribosomal RNA
Source: RNAcentral
AGUGAACGCUGGCGGUAGGCCUAACACAUGCAAGUCGAACGGCAGCACAGUAAGAGCUUGCUCUUACGGGUGGCGAGUGGCGGACGGGUGAGGAAUACAUCGGAAUCUACUUUUUCGUGGGGGAUAACGUAGGGAAACUUACGCUAAUACCGCAUACGACCUACGGGUGAAAGCAGGGGAUCUUCGGACCUUGCGCGAUUGAAUGAGCCGAUGUCGGAUUAGCUAGUUGGCGGGGUAAAGGCCCACCAAGGCGACGAUCCGUAGCUGGUCUGAGAGGAUGAUCAGCGACACUGGAACUGAGACACGGUCCAGACGCCUACGGGAGGCAGCAGUGGGGAAUAUUGGACAAUGGGCGCAAGCCUGAUCCAGCCAUACCGCGUGGGUGAAGAAGGCCUUCGGGUUGUAAAGCCCUUUUGUUGGGAAAGAAAAGAAGCAGGUUAAUACCCCGCUGUUAUGACGGUACCCAAAGAAUAAGCACCGGCUAACUUCGUG